Cavia porcellus (domestic guinea pig) is the source of this 1218-nucleotide long non-coding RNA. RefSeq lists it as uncharacterized. The record is from RefSeq and is a predicted model, not a curated record. Lineage: Eukaryota; Metazoa; Chordata; Mammalia; Rodentia; Caviidae. The transcript is spliced from 4 exons.
UCAAUUAUUCAUAAAAGAUUUGUUUAUACUCUCACACAUAAUAAAAUCCAAUUAGAUAAAACAUGAUGUAACCAAUGGAAACAGAAGAACAGAAGCAUGGCAGCACUUCAAAGCAAGAUGAUAUUACAUUAGCAGUGGCUAUGGUCUCUUCUGGUUCCAGAAUAAUUUUAUGAGUGAUUUCUCUAGAUCUAUGAGGGGCCUGAAGAAAAUUCCAAUCAACUCCGCACAUGUGGGGCUGCAGGGAGUGGGAGAAAUGUCUGUUCCAAUCUCCACAUCCAGGCUGGAACACAAGAAAAAGGCAUAAGACAUCAAAUAUGAAAGAAAAUAUUUGUCAUCAUGAACAAUCACAAUUUUAUAUUUGAAGGCAUGAAUAUACCAUCAGAUCAGCAAAAUGAAUUGUCUUAGUAAUACGAACUUUACUUGAGCUUUCUCCCAUAGGGCUAUAGGGUAUAUUUGGACCUCCUAUCAGUGAACCUGACCUGGUUACAGUUACCUGAUUGUUUAUGUGUAAAUACCAUAUAGUGUUCCUAGUGUGAGAAAUGCUAAGAGUACAUAAGAGUUCGUGGUAAUCCUGCUUCCCCAUUACAUUGCUUUGGAACCUUAUAAUAUUCCCAUUCAUUACUCAGAAUGGUUUCAUCCUGGGUUGUUUGAUUUUAUUCAGAACUAAAUAACACAAAAUGAACAAUGGUUACUGUAUUAUCUAUGAUUAUUUGAACAGCUAUUUUGAAGAAAACAAGACAUUAUAAUAGCUAGUGCUGAUUUAAUAUCAUCUUGUUUUGAAGUGCUAACAUGCUUUUAGUCUUUUCUUUCCUUGGUUCUAUCUUGUUGUAUCUAAUUGGAUUGUAUUUUGUGUGGUAGUAUAAACAAAUAUUUUAUGGACAAUGAGAUAAUAUAGUAACCAUUGUUCAUUUUGUGUUAUUUGGUUCUGAAUUAUCUGUAAUAAUUUCAUGCUCUUUAAUGAUUUUAUAAUAUUUUGUUAUGUUUGAUACUAUUGUGUAUGAAAAUAUACUCAACUACUUCAAGGAAAGAGACACUAAGGUAGCCACUGGUAUGUCAGGUUGUAUUGUGUGAAAUACUGUGUUGCUUAAACUGUUGUGCUCCAAUCACAUUUGUUAAGUGCUCUUUUAUUUUAAUCUCUUUAAAAUUAAAAUAAAUUUUUAAAAAAGUUACCAGGUGCCACAUUCUUGUCUAUCACUUGAAGUGCUGUCUAAUUUUGCC